This 1321-nucleotide long non-coding RNA is filed under the name Marmota monax (woodchuck). The record is from RNAcentral. Lineage: Eukaryota; Metazoa; Chordata; Mammalia; Rodentia; Sciuridae.
AUUUUGAAAUGUUAUGUGAUGCCACUUGGAACCACAACGCUGGGCUUUGGAAAUCACCCGCCAACCUCUGAGCAGUUCCUUGAGAAGAUGCUGUUCCUCGGUUGCUUUUUCUGUAAUUAAUGUAGUUCCAAUAACAUUUUUAUUGUUCAGAGUCAACAUUGCAUUUUUUCUUCCAGGGCUACCAGAUUUGGGAAACCUCAUGAAGUAAACUGGAGCUAUGUUCAAAGGGACUCAGGUGGCCAGGGGAAAGGGAAUACAGGCCUUCAGGAUUUUUUUCCAGAGGUAUAAAGUCUUGGAAGCCGUUUCUUCCCUGAAAAGUGCCAAAGUCAUGGGACCCUCAGAACAAAAGGACCCUGCGGCUGUGGGGACAGAUGUUGAGCUAUAAGAAAGGAAUCGAUCCUUCCUCGUAUCCUUUGUCAGGAAUCAGGACAAACACACACAACCUAGUCUAAAUUUGUCAGCCGUGUCUUGGGAGACAUAAUUUGAUUGAUGGUGACACUGAACCUAGCUUACAGAGAGCAAGAGAGCCCAUAUGGUGCUUGGUGUUUUGGCAAGAAAUGUGAUUUAUGUAGGAACUUAGGGUUUUAAAUUCAACCAUGGAAUGAUUUUAAGGAUAUAAAGGAGCUUUAGGUGAGUCCAACACAGUGUAGUCUAAUGUUUUUGUUUUCAAUGAAGAAAUUGCCCCAGGGUCCCUAUAAUGUGUUACUGCUGAUUCUUAGAACUUUUGCGGUAUCUUGUCCUUCACUCACCACACAUUCUGCUACUUCCUUUGUUUUUCAAGAUGGGGACAAACAUUUUCCUUUAAGAAAAUGGUAGAUUAAAUUUACUUAUGACUUUAAAAAUGAUAUCAGCACUAUCAUUUCUUAUUGUUUCAUCUAAUCUUCUUGAGAACCUGUGGCCCAAGUUAUAUUACUGUUGUUACCACCUCUUACAGAUGAGGAACCAGGGCUUAAGAGGAGAUCCAAACACCCCAUCAGGGCCAGAACCUGGAGGAUCUCGUCUCAGAGAGGUACCCUGAGCCACCACCGGAAACCAGCGCCCUCCACUGUGGUCUCUGUGUAGGAAGUUCCUGUUGAACAUGGUUGGUCCAGCUGAUAGAGCCCGGGGGAGACAACAAACUCGGCACUGUCCAGCCCAGCACUGUCUUCCUCUCUCUUUCCCACACUCCUUUUUCUGCCAUGAUGGCCUUUCCAACCUGGGGCAGCCCACAUGUGGGUGAAGUGUUUACCCAGGGCUUCAGCUGGAUGUAUCCUUCUUGUUUUAUUUUUACCUUUGAUUGUAAAGGUCCUUAGGGCACAGACUUUUUACUGUUUGUUUAGUG